Molecule: ribosomal RNA, 383 nt
Filed under: uncultured eukaryote
Lineage: Eukaryota
Description: partial 18S ribosomal RNA
Rfam family: Eukaryotic small subunit ribosomal RNA
Source: RNAcentral
CAAUAGCGUAUAUUAAAGUUGUUGCAGUUAAAAAGCUCGUAGUUGGAUUUCUGGUGGGAGCGAUCGGUCUGGCGCUUAGCGCGAGUACUUGCAUCGUCUCCGGCCAUCCUUGGGGAGAGUCUGUCUGGCAUUAGGUUGUCGGGCAGAGGAUCCUCAUCGUUUACUGUGAAAAAAUUAGAGUGUUCAAAGCAGGCUUAUGCCGUUGAAUAUAUUAGCAUGGAAUAAUGAGAUAGGACUUUGGUACUAUUUUGUUGGUUUGCGCACCAAAGUAAUGAUUAAUAGGGACAGUUGGGGGUAUUCGUAUUCCGUUGUCAGAGGUGAAAUUCUUGGAUUUACGGAAGACGAACUACUGCGAAAGCAUUUACCAAGGAUGUUUUCAUUAA